GGUUAAGCGACUAAGCGUACACGGUGGAUGCCCUGGCAGUCAGAGGCGAUGAAGGACGUGCUAAUCUGCGAAAAGCGUCGGUAAGGUGAUAUGAACCGUUAUAGCCGGCGAUGUCCGAAUGGGGAAACCCAGUGCAAUUCGUUGCACUAUCGUUAACUGAAUACAUAGGUUAACGAGGCGAACCGGGGGAACUGAAACAUCUAAGUACCCCGAGGAAAAGAAAUCAACCGAGAUUCCCCCAGUAGCGGCGAGCGAACGGGGAGCAGCCCAGAGUCUGAAUCAGCUUGUGUGUUAGUGGAACGGUCUGGAAAGUCCGACGGUACAGGGUGAUAGUCCCGUACACCAAAAUGCACAGGCUGUGAACUCGAAGAGUAGGGCGGGACACGUGGUAUCCUGUCUGAAUAUGGGGGGACCAUCCUCCAAGGCUAAAUACUCCUGACUGACCGAUAGUGAACCAGUACCGUGAGGGAAAGGCGAAAAGAACCCCGGCGAGGGGAGUGAAAAAGAACCUGAAACCGUGUACGUACAAGCAGUGGGAGCACCUUCGGGUGUGACUGCGUACCUUUUGUAUAAUGGGUCAGCGACUUAUAUUCUGUAGCAAGGUUAACCGUAUAGGGGAGCCGCAGGGAAACCGAGUCUUAACUGGGCGUUAAGUUGCAGGGUAUAGACCCGAAACCCGGUGAUCUAGCCAUGGGCAGGUUGAAGGUUGGGUAACACUAACUGGAGGACCGAACCGACUAAUGUUGAAAAAUUAGCGGAUGACUUGUGGCUGGGGGUGAAAGGCCAAUCAAACCGGGAGAUAGCUGGUUCUCCCCGAAAGCUAUUUAGGUAGCGCCUCGUGAACUCAUCUUCGGGGGUAGAGCACUGUUUCGGCUAGGGGGUCAUCCCGACUUACCAACCCGAUGCAAACUACGAAUACCGAAGAAUGUUAUCACGGGAGACACACGGCGGGUGCUAACGUCCGUCGUGAAGAGGGAAACAACCCAGACCGCCAGCUAAGGUCCCAAAGUCAUGGUUAAGUGGGAAACGAUGUGGGAAGGCACAGACAGCCAGGAUGUUGGCUUAGAAGCAGCCAUCAUUUAAAGAAAGCGUAAUAGCUCACUGGUCGAGUCGGCCUGCGCGGAAGAUGUAACGGGGCUAAACCAUGCACCGAAGCUGCGGCAGCGACACUAUGUGUUGUUGGGUAGGGGAGCGUUCUGUAAGCCUGCGAAGGUGACCUGUGAGGGUUGCUGGAGGUAUCAGAAGUGCGAAUGCUGACAUAAGUAACGAUAAAGCGGGUGAAAAGCCCGCUCGCCGGAAGACCAAGGGUUCCUGUCCAACGUUAAUCGGGGCAGGGUGAGUCGACCCCUAAGGCGAGGCCGAAAGGCGUAGUCGAUGGGAAACAGGUUAAUAUUCCUGUACUUGGUGUUACUGCGAAGGGGGGACGGAGAAGGCUAUGUUAGCCGGGCGACGGUUGUCCCGGUUUAAGCAUGUAGGCUGGUUAUCCAGGCAAAUCCGGAUAAUCAAGGCUGAGGUGUGAUGACGAGGCACUACGGUGCUGAAGUAACAAAUGCCCUGCUUCCAGGAAAAGCCUCUAAGCAUCAGGUAACAUCAAAUCGUACCCCAAACCGACACAGGUGGUCAGGUAGAGAAUACCAAGGCGCUUGAGAGAACUCGGGUGAAGGAACUAGGCAAAAUGGUGCCGUAACUUCGGGAGAAGGCACGCUGGUGUGUAGGUGAAGUCCCUGCGGAUGGAGCUGAGACCAGUCGAAGAUACCAGCUGGCUGCAACUGUUUAUUAAAAACACAGCACUGUGCAAACACGAAAGUGGACGUAUACGGUGUGACGCCUGCCCGGUGCCGGAAGGUUAAUUGAUGGGGUUAUCCGUAAGGAGAAGCUCUUGAUCGAAGCCCCGGUAAACGGCGGCCGUAACUAUAACGGUCCUAAGGUAGCGAAAUUCCUUGUCGGGUAAGUUCCGACCUGCACGAAUGGCGUAAUGAUGGCCAGGCUGUCUCCACCCGAGACUCAGUGAAAUUGAACUCGCUGUGAAGAUGCAGUGUACCCGCGGCAAGACGGAAAGACCCCGUGAACCUUUACUAUAGCUUGACACUGAACAUUGAGCCUUGAUGUGUAGGAUAGGUGGGAGGCUUUGAAGCGUGGACGCCAGUCUGCGUGGAGCCAACCUUGAAAUACCACCCUUUAAUGUUUGAUGUUCUAACGUUGGCCCCUGACCGGGGUUGCGGACAGUGUCUGGUGGGUAGUUUGACUGGGGCGGUCUCCUCCCAAAGCGUAACGGAGGAGCACGAAGGUUAGCUAAUCCUGGUCGGACAUCAGGAGGUUAGUGCAAUGGCAUAAGCUAGCUUGACUGCGAGCGUGACGGCGCGAGCAGGUGCGAAAGCAGGUCAUAGUGAUCCGGUGGUUCUGAAUGGAAGGGCCAUCGCUCAACGGAUAAAAGGUACUCCGGGGAUAACAGGCUGAUACCGCCCAAGAGUUCAUAUCGACGGCGGUGUUUGGCACCUCGAUGUCGGCUCAUCACAUCCUGGGGCUGAAGUAGGUCCCAAGGGUAUGGCUGUUCGCCAUUUAAAGUGGUACGCGAGCUGGGUUUAGAACGUCGUGAGACAGUUCGGUCCCUAUCUGCCGUGGGCGCUGGAGAAUUGAGGGGGGCUGCUCCUAGUACGAGAGGACCGGAGUGGACGCAUCACUGGUGUUCGGGUUGUCAUGCCAAUGGCACUGCCCGGUAGCUAAAUGCGGAAGAGAUAAGUGCUGAAAGCAUCUAAGCACGAAACUUGCCCCGAGAUGAGUUCUCCCUGAGACUUUAAGUCUCCUGAAGGAACGUUGAAGACGACGACGUUGAUAGGCCGGGUGUGUAAGCGCAGCGAUGCGUUGAGCUAACCGGUACUAAUGAACCGUGAGGCUUAACCUU
This 2902-nucleotide ribosomal RNA is filed under the name Klebsiella pneumoniae. Its description in RNAcentral is "23S ribosomal RNA". It matches the Rfam family "Bacterial large subunit ribosomal RNA". The record is from RNAcentral. Lineage: Bacteria; Pseudomonadati; Pseudomonadota; Gammaproteobacteria; Enterobacterales; Enterobacteriaceae.